GACGAACGCUGGCGGCGUGCCUAAUACAUGCAAGUCGAGCGGAGUUGUGCUUCGGCACAACUUAGCGGCGAACGGGUGAGUAACACGUGGGCAACCUGCCCCUUAGACUGGGAUAACUUUGGGAAACCGAAGCUAAUACCGGAUAAACUUAGGAAUCGCAUGAUACUUAAGUAAAAGGCUUCGGCCACUGAGGGAUGGGCCCGCGGUGCAUUAGCUAGUUGGUAAGGUAAAGGCUUACCAAGGCGACGAUGCAUAGCCGACCUGAGAGGGUGACCGGCCACACUGGGACUGAGACACGGCCCAGACUCCUACGGGAGGCAG
RNAcentral lists this ribosomal RNA (321 nucleotides) under uncultured Bacillota bacterium. RNAcentral describes it as "bacterial SSU rRNA". It matches the Rfam family "Bacterial small subunit ribosomal RNA", at positions 28 to 351 of the family's 1533-position model. The record is from RNAcentral. Lineage: Bacteria; Bacillati; Bacillota.